CAUGGGAGGGCCGGCCGCAGCGGGUGACAGCCCCGUACGCGAACCCAGACCGGACGGCGCGACGCGGUCCCUGAGUAGGGCCGGGCACGUGAAACCCGGUCCGAACCUGGGUGGACCACCAUCCAAGCCUGAGUACUACCCUGUGACCGAUAGCGCACCAGUACCGUGAGGGAAAGGUGAAAAGCACCCCGGGAGGGGAGUGAAACAGUACCUGAAACCGUGCGCCCACGAGCAGUCGGAGCACCUUUAUGGUGUGACGGCGUGCCUUUUGUAGAAUGAGCCAGCGAGUCGCUGGCGCGGGGCGAGGUUAACCGAAAGGGAGCCGAAGCGAAAGCGAGCCUUAACAGGGCGACUUGAGUCCCGCGCCGCGGACGCGAAGCCGGGUGAGCUAUCCGUGGGCAGGCUGAAGCGGGGGUAAGACCCCGUGGAGGGCCGAACGCACGUCGGUUGAAAACGGCGGCGAUGACCUGCGGAUAGGGGUGAAAGGCCAAUCAAACCCGGAGAUAUCUCGUUCUCCCCGAAAUAGCUUUAGGGCUAGCGUCGCGCGUUCACCGCCGGAGGUAGAGCACCGGAUGGACGAGGGGGCUUCGCCGCCUACCGAAUCCAACCGAACUCCGAAUGCCGGCGGCCCAGAGCGCGGCAGUCAGAGCAUGUGGGCUAAGCUGUGUGCUCGAGAGGGAAACAGCCCGGACCGCCCGCUAAGGUCCCCAAGUUCCAGCCGAGUGGCAAAGGAUGUGCGUCCGCCCAGACAACCAGGAUGUUGGCUUAGAAGCAGCCAUCCAUUCAAAGAGUGCGUAACAGCUCACUGGUCGAGUGGACAUGCGCCGACAAUACACGGGGCUAAGCUGGACACCGAAGCGGCGGGAUUUUAAUUCAUUAGAAUCGGUAGGGGAGCUUCCCAUGGGCGGAGAAGCCGGAGGGCGACCGACGGUGGAGCGCAUGGGAGUGAGAAUGCUGGCAUGAGUAGCGAGAGACGAGAGAGUAACUCGUCCGCCGUGAACCCGAGGUUUCCUGGGCAAGGCUAAUCCUCCCAGGGUCAGUCGGGGGCUAAGGCGAGGCCGGGAGGCGUAGCCGACGCGCAGCAGGCAGACAUUCCUGCACCGCGCACGCGGCGCUACGACCGACGGGGCGACGGAUGGGGGUGGCUCGGCGGGGUUCUGGACGUCCCCGUGAUGGAGCGCGGCCCGCGGACCAGGGAAAUCCGGUCCGCAGAAGGGCGAGGCUCCGGACGAAGCGACUGAGCGAAGCGAGUGAGCCCGAGGUCCCUAGAAAAACCCCUAGGCAGGCGCGUGCGCGCCCGUACCGCAAACCGACACAGGUGGGUGGGUAGAACAUACCGAGGCGAUCGGGUCAACCAUGGUCAAGGAACUCGGCACAAUGGCCCCGUAACUUCGGGAGAAGGGGUGCCCGCGCGUACGUGAACCGGCUCGCCCGGGGAGCGGAGGCGGGCCGCAGUGGAGAGGCCCAAGCGACUGUUUACCAAAAACACAGGACUCUGCAGAAGCCGCAAGGCGACGUAUAGGGUCUGACGCCUGCCCGGUGCCGGAAGGUCACGCGGAGGAGUUAGCCGAUUCGGCGAAGCCCCGAAGCCAAGCCCCGGUAAACGGCGGCCGUAACUAUAACGGUCCUAAGGUAGCGAAAUUCCUUGUCGGGUAAGUUCCGACCUGCACGAAAGGCGCAACGACUUGGGCGCUGUCUCGACCAUGGACCCGGUGAAAUUGCACUGGUCGUGAAGAUGCGACUUACCCGCGGAAGGACGGAAAGACCCCGUGAACCUUCACUGCAGCUUGGCAUUGGCCGCUGGUCCCGCGUGUAGAGGAUAGGCAGGAGGCAUCGAUCCGGAGGCGCCAGCCCCC
Molecule: ribosomal RNA, 1856 nt
Filed under: human gut metagenome
Description: bacterial LSU rRNA
Rfam family: Bacterial large subunit ribosomal RNA
Source: RNAcentral